This is a long non-coding RNA of Monodelphis domestica (gray short-tailed opossum), 596 nucleotides long. RefSeq lists it as uncharacterized. The record is from RefSeq and is a predicted model, not a curated record. NCBI's taxonomy places the organism in Eukaryota, Metazoa, Chordata, Mammalia, Didelphimorphia, Didelphidae.
GUCAAAUGUGAAGAAACCAAGCAAGGCUGGGGCCAUUUCUUCUUGUCAGCUAAGUGUUGUCCUUCCCCCACUAACCUCAGCUCAGGAAGUAAUAUUUCCUAUGUUUAGGAUCAUAAACAAAGGAAAAAAAAGACAUUUCUCCUGGAUAAUCUCAAACAUCUGAACAUGACUUCAAGCCUUCCUGUUUCCUUGGGUCCAGCCUCAGUAUGAAAUGAUUCCCUUAUAUUCCUAGUGAACUUGUUUCUUCUUGUCUAUGAUUGUUCCACAUGGGGAAAGAUAAAAAUCUUAUCUUCACUACAGAGCUAGAGAUAAAAGUCAAUAGUGUCUAUAAAUGUAAUGGGAAAUGGAACAAGAUAAUCUUUUUGGACCAAAAAAAGGACACUGAUUUCAAUUGUUCUAAAUUAACUCUUUUUUUUUUUCAAAAUUUUGAAAGGACUUAAAUUUCCCAAAUAAAAUGAUUUUACUCCAGUUUCUAAGGAAGCAGAAUAGGAGAUAUGAAUGGAAGCAAGACUAGGAGUGUCCCAUAUGGGAAGCUGAUAAUAGUCACCUUAUUUCCUUCUUCAACGACCAAAGAGAUUAAACAACCCUUCAAGUUA